UUUAAGCGCAGCCAUGAGUUUUCGUGUCUAACUUUGAUCGUCCAUUUUAUUUAAAAUUUUUUUAUGAUUAAUAUUUUUUUAUUAUUAAAAGAUAAAACAUGAAUAAUCCUUUUUUUUAUUGUACAUGAAUAAUCCUUUAGUGGUGACUUAUGUUUUUAAUUUUUUUAAAAAAAAACCAGAUAAGAUAAACGUUUAAAGUUAGAAAAAAAAAUAUUGUUGCGCGACGG
This 227-nucleotide microRNA precursor is filed under the name Oryza rufipogon (brownbeard rice). Its description in RNAcentral is "MIR812 microRNA precursor family". It matches the Rfam family "MIR812 microRNA precursor family". Lineage: Eukaryota; Viridiplantae; Streptophyta; Magnoliopsida; Poales; Poaceae. The record is from Rfam by way of RNAcentral.